Molecule: ribosomal RNA, 253 nt
Filed under: uncultured bacterium
Lineage: Bacteria
Description: partial 16S ribosomal RNA
Rfam family: Bacterial small subunit ribosomal RNA
Source: RNAcentral
UACAGAGGUCUCAAGCGUUGUUCGGAUUCAUUGGGCGUAAAGGGUGCGUAGGCGGCGCGGUAAGUCGGGUGUGAAAUUUCGAGGCUUAACUUCGAAACUGCAUUCGAUACUGCCGUGCUAGAGGACUGGAGAGGAGACUGGAAUUUACGGUGUAGCGGUGAAAUGCGUAGAUAUCGUAAGGAAGACCAGUGGCGAAGGCGGGUCUCUGGUCCAGUACUGACACUCAAGUGCGAAAGCGUGGGGAGCAAACAGG